Molecule: ribosomal RNA, 1549 nt
Filed under: Enterococcus mundtii
Lineage: Bacteria; Bacillati; Bacillota; Bacilli; Lactobacillales; Enterococcaceae
Also listed under: 27 other names
Description: bacterial SSU rRNA
Rfam family: Bacterial small subunit ribosomal RNA
Source: RNAcentral
AGAGUUUGAUCCUGGCUCAGGACGAACGCUGGCGGCGUGCCUAAUACAUGCAAGUCGAACGCUUCUUUUCCCACCGGAGCUUGCUCCACCGGGAAAAGAGGAGUGGCGAACGGGUGAGUAACACGUGGGUAACCUGCCCAUCAGAAGGGGAUAACACUUGGAAACAGGUGCUAAUACCGUAUAACAAUCGAAACCGCAUGGUUUCGUUUUGAAAGGCGCUUUACGGUGCCGCUGAUGGAUGGACCCGCGGUGCAUUAGCUAGUUGGUGAGGUAACGGCUCACCAAGGCCACGAUGCAUAGCCGACCUGAGAGGGUGAUCGGCCACAUUGGGACUGAGACACGGCCCAAACUCCUACGGGAGGCAGCAGUAGGGAAUCUUCGGCAAUGGACGAAAGUCUGACCGAGCAACGCCGCGUGAGUGAAGAAGGUUUUCGGAUCGUAAAACUCUGUUGUUAGAGAAGAACAAGGGUGAGAGUAACUGUUCACCCCUUGACGGUAUCUAACCAGAAAGCCACGGCUAACUACGUGCCAGCAGCCGCGGUAAUACGUAGGUGGCAAGCGUUGUCCGGAUUUAUUGGGCGUAAAGCGAGCGCAGGCGGUUUCUUAAGUCUGAUGUGAAAGCCCCCGGCUCAACCGGGGAGGGUCAUUGGAAACUGGGAGACUUGAGUGCAGAAGAGGAGAGUGGAAUUCCAUGUGUAGCGGUGAAAUGCGUAGAUAUAUGGAGGAACACCAGUGGCGAAGGCGGCUCUCUGGUCUGUAACUGACGCUGAGGCUCGAAAGCGUGGGGAGCAAACAGGAUUAGAUACCCUGGUAGUCCACGCCGUAAACGAUGAGUGCUAAGUGUUGGAGGGUUUCCGCCCUUCAGUGCUGCAGCUAACGCAUUAAGCACUCCGCCUGGGGAGUACGACCGCAAGGUUGAAACUCAAAGGAAUUGACGGGGGCCCGCACAAGCGGUGGAGCAUGUGGUUUAAUUCGAAGCAACGCGAAGAACCUUACCAGGUCUUGACAUCCUUUGACCACUCUAGAGAUAGAGCUUCCCCUUCGGGGGCAAAGUGACAGGUGGUGCAUGGUUGUCGUCAGCUCGUGUCGUGAGAUGUUGGGUUAAGUCCCGCAACGAGCGCAACCCUUAUUGUUAGUUGCCAUCAUUUAGUUGGGCACUCUAGCAAGACUGCCGGUGACAAACCGGAGGAAGGUGGGGAUGACGUCAAAUCAUCAUGCCCCUUAUGACCUGGGCUACACACGUGCUACAAUGGGAAGUACAACGAGUCGCGAAGUCGCGAGGCUAAGCUAAUCUCUUAAAGCUUCUCUCAGUUCGGAUUGUAGGCUGCAACUCGCCUACAUGAAGCCGGAAUCGCUAGUAAUCGCGGAUCAGCACGCCGCGGUGAAUACGUUCCCGGGCCUUGUACACACCGCCCGUCACACCACGAGAGUUUGUAACACCCGAAGUCGGUGAGGUAACCUUUUUGGAGCCAGCCGCCUAAGGUGGGAUAGAUGAUUGGGGUGAAGUCGUAACAAGGUAGCCGUAUCGGAAGGUGCGGCUGGAUCACCU